AUAUCUCUCCGUACGGGAAGGAUGAGAAGCUUCGACUAAGGUUCGAUUCGAGCGCAGCGAGAAAGCGUUGCCGCAGGCAACGACCC
Molecule: small RNA, 86 nt
Filed under: Salmonella enterica
Lineage: Bacteria; Pseudomonadati; Pseudomonadota; Gammaproteobacteria; Enterobacterales; Enterobacteriaceae
Also listed under: 2 other names
Description: partial RtT sRNA
Rfam family: RtT RNA
About the family: This family represents a bacterial cis-regulatory element known as RtT RNA.
Source: RNAcentral